RNAcentral lists this transfer RNA (70 nucleotides) under Sphaerodactylus townsendi. Its description in RNAcentral is "tRNA-Ile". Lineage: Eukaryota; Metazoa; Chordata; Lepidosauria; Squamata; Sphaerodactylidae. The record is from RNAcentral.
GGCUGUGGUUCAGUGGUACAGCACCUGCUUAAUAUGUGCAAGAUCCCAGGUUCAAUCCCUGGAAUAUCCA